CCCACAGGCAGCUGAAUACACCGGCCCUUUGUCAGACUUGCUCAAGAAGAAUGUUCCCGAACCGUUGGCUUGGAGUGAAGACUUGUUGGUGCGGUUCAAACACCUCAAGGAUAAGAUGGUCUCGCCACCAGUGCUUCGUCUGCCGAACCCGGAUCUGAUCUUCGUUCUGAGGACCGAUGCCUCCAGCCGCGGGAUUGGAGCAGUCCUUCUGCAGUACUACAGCGACUGUCCACAUCCCGUCGCCUAUGCCAGUCGGAAGUUACUCGACCGUGAAACAAGGUACUCCACGAUUGAACGAGAGUGCCUUGCAGUCAUCUUCGCCAUCAACAGGUUUGACUUCUACCUACGCGCAGAUUCUUGUUUGGGGGGCCGUGUGAGGGGUAACUACGCCCUGCCGGCCUUGUUAAUCUGCCGGCCUCGUUCCGCCCUGGCUCCUCCUACUUCCGAGCCGACGUCAUAGCCCGGCUAGCGGGCUAAGGCAGACACCAGCUCACCACCACAGAGUGCACACCUCGCCUUCUCAACCUCACGCUGGUCCUUCGUCUCACUGGGAAAGCUGCGUGUCUGGGCUCCUUGCUGCUUCUCCCCUGGCUGUACCGCCCGACCAAGUCACCACUGCUGUCUCCCACUGCAUUCCAGCCUAUGGACUUCACUUCCCUGGCCUUUAGCUGAGAGGAUUACAACCGGUGCACCCAACCCCGGUGACUUAGCAGGCCAACCCCUUUUGCACACUACAGUGGUUUGAUUACUUUGUGGUCAAUUUGUUGUCUUUGUUUGUGUUAAUACACUCACCCUUAUUUUGUGCUGUUUUCCUCUCCAAAGGGCUAUUAGGCAUUCCUGGCUAUUACAUCUUAAUAUUGAGGGCGAGAGAUCGUGGCCUCCC
This is a long non-coding RNA of Eriocheir sinensis (Chinese mitten crab), 883 nucleotides long. RefSeq lists it as uncharacterized. NCBI's taxonomy places the organism in Eukaryota, Metazoa, Arthropoda, Malacostraca, Decapoda, Varunidae. The record is from RefSeq and is a predicted model, not a curated record. The transcript has 3 exons.